RNAcentral lists this ribosomal RNA (253 nucleotides) under uncultured prokaryote. Its description in RNAcentral is "partial 16S ribosomal RNA". It matches the Rfam family "Bacterial small subunit ribosomal RNA", at positions 524 to 776 of the family's 1533-position model. The record is from RNAcentral.
UACGAAGGGAGCUAGCGUUGUUCGGAAUUACUGGGCGUAAAGGGCGCGUAGGCGGUUUGGCAAGUUGGAUGUGAAAGCCCUGGGCUCAACCCGGGAAUUGCAUUCAAGACUGCCUUGCUUGAAUUCGGUAGAGGUUGGUAGAAUUCCCAGUGUAGAGGUGAAAUUCGUAGAGAUUGGGAAGAAUACCCGUGGCGAAGGCGGCCAACUGGACCGACAUUGACGCUGAGGCGCGAAAGCGUGGGGAUCAAACAGG